UAAACAUUUAAAUGCUAAGACAAUGUUGUUUUGUUUUCAUCACAUUGGGUAGUAGUAGGAUAAUGAAUGCUCUGAUGAUGAUGAAGGUGUUAAAGGUGUGUUUUUGUCUUCAGAAGUAAUCCAGCAUGCAACAUGAAUGUUGGAUUGAUUUAAGAAAUUGUAUUAUUAGUUUUGGUUUUUCGCCUUUUUUGAUUUAAAUAUAGACAAAAAUGAUAAACUAAAUUCCAUCCUGCCAAGUCACUCGACCAGGCAGAGAUGAAAAAUAGCGGUUGAAGGUCUCCCUCAUUGCGACCGCGUCCCUGGAAGCGUUGUUGCUGCCGACCCUCAGACAAAUCACCUCAGACAAAUGCAAAGCCGUUGGGUUGCUCUCCCUAUAAUUGGUGUUCUUCUUGGCGAUGGUCGGCCCAAUAAAUGUUAACACUCCUUCAAACUGCUGCCGGUUGAGUCUGAAAUAGACCUUGAAGCGAUCCUCGUCCAGGCGGAGCUCUUGACACAGCCAGUGGUAUUCCCCGUACUGCCCCCUACCACGAUUAAUACUGUGGACCCACACUCUCCUCCGGGCAACCACGACAGGCGCAGGGGGAUCGUCCGCAACCUCCGCUGCCACGGCAAGAAGCGCUAUUAAUCUUCGAUUCAUUUCGCAAAUUGUAGGAGUAACCAGAGAGGACGUUCAGGUGUCAGAUGCCAUAUGAUGGAGCCAACAGAUAGAAGCUGUGAAUCUAUGGAUACAAGCGAUGACGCGUAUUUAAUGACGUAAACGAAAAACGCUUCGUGCGUCUUUUUUUGAGCGGCGCGCACAAACGCGUUGAAAGCAGUUCACGGAGCGCUCCGUCUUUUAAAAACGCUUUUGGUGGACAAAAGCGUUUUUAAAAGACGGAGCGCCGGUCUGCAAUGCAUUCUCUAUGGCAGGACGCGCAAGCAGCGCGCCUUUUAAAAAGCCGGCCGGAGCGUUUAAACGCUCCACGCGCCUCGCGCUUUUAGACGCGCGCCCCCGUUGAAAAAAGUUGAACUUUUGAAGAAAAGCGCUUCACGUCAUCGGCGCUUUUUUUGAACGACCAAUCAAAAUCGAGGAUGAGGCAAGGCUAAAAGUAUAAACCGAACUCAAACUGAAACAAACUGAAACAUGUCGGACGAAAGCUUGAUAACAGCUGUGAGCGAGUGUCCGGUCCUGUACGACCUCACGUUGAAGGCCUACCACGACCUAACAAAACGCAACCAGGCCUGGCGAGACAUUUCAUCUAUGCUGGGCGUUACAGGUGGUGGCUCAAAGUGAAGAGGAGAUAUCUCCUCCCUCUCCCAGCCUAUCAGAGUCCGCUGUGGACACCUCUCCUCCAUCUCCUCCCACUACCUCUACGGUGACUCUGGUCACACCGCUGCGUCCUGUACCUCCACCACCACGCAGGAGACAGCUGGAGCAGCCGCUGUCUGCGUUCCAGAAAUCAAUCCUGUCCUCCAUCCAGAAAGAAAAGGAGAAUACAAUGGCUGUGGACGAGGAUGAGCAUUUUAUGCUCAGCCUCGUCCCAUCAUUGAGGAGGCUGUCGAACCAAAAAAGGGCCCAGGCGCGCAUGAGGAUGCAGCAGGUCCUUUAUGAUGUGGAGUUUGGAGAGUAAUUAAUUUGUAAUCAUUUUCUAUUUAGAUUUAGUUUUAAGAUUUAACAUUUUUUUAAAUGUGUAAAUAAAAUUUGUAAUCAGUUUCUAGUUAGAUUUAGUACAAGCUAUAAGAAAUGUUUCAAAUGUGUACAUAAUAUCUUGGAAUCAUUUUCUAUUUAGAUUUAGU
RNA transcript from Gadus chalcogrammus (walleye pollock), 1776 nucleotides. It is a transcript of the gene named transcription factor Adf-1-like, with no coding region annotated. NCBI's taxonomy places the organism in Eukaryota, Metazoa, Chordata, Actinopteri, Gadiformes, Gadidae. The transcript is spliced from 2 exons. The record is from RefSeq and is a predicted model, not a curated record.